UACGUAGGGUGCGAGCGUUAAUCGGAAUUACUGGGCGUAAAGUGUGCGCAGGCGGCCGCGCAAGUCGAGUGUGAAAGCCCCGAGCUUAACUUGGGAAUUGCGCUCGAAACUACGUGGCUGGAGUGUGGCAGAGGAAGGUGGGAUUCCACGUGUAGCGGUGAAAUGCGUAGAGAUGUGGAGGAACACCAAUGGCGAAGGCAGCCUUCUGGGCCAACACUGACGCUCAUGCACGAAAGCGUGGGGAGCAAACAGG
This 253-nucleotide ribosomal RNA is filed under the name uncultured bacterium. Its description in RNAcentral is "partial 16S ribosomal RNA". It matches the Rfam family "Bacterial small subunit ribosomal RNA", at positions 524 to 776 of the family's 1533-position model. The record is from RNAcentral.